GACGAACGCUGGCGGCGUGCUUAACACAUGCAAGUCGAACGGAAAGGCCCUGCUUUUGUGGGGUGCUCGAGUGGCGAACGGGUGAGUAACACGUGAGUAACCUGCCCUCGACUAUGGGAUAACUUCAGGAAACUGGGGCUAAUACCGGAUAGGAGCUCCUGCUGCAUGGUGGGGGUUGGAAAGUUUCGGCGGGUGGGGGUGGACUCGCGGCUUAUCAGCUUGUUGGUGGGGUAGUGGCUUACCAAGGCUUUGACGGGUAGCCGGCCUGCGAGGGUGACCGGCCACAUUGGGACUGAGAUGCGGCCCAGACUCCUACGGGAGGCAGCAGUGGAGAAUAGUGCACAAUGGGCGGAAGCCUGAUGCAGCAACGCCGCGUGGGGGAUGACGGCCUUCGGGUUGUAAACCGCUUUCGCCUGUGACGAAGCGUGAGUGACGGUAAUGGGUAAAGAAGCACCGGCUAACUACGUG
RNAcentral lists this ribosomal RNA (468 nucleotides) under uncultured bacterium. RNAcentral describes it as "partial 16S ribosomal RNA". It matches the Rfam family "Bacterial small subunit ribosomal RNA", at positions 28 to 507 of the family's 1533-position model. The record is from RNAcentral.